UGAAUACGAGACGCUACGGCGUCGAAGCAGUCUAUGUCAUACUUCCAAGAAAAGCUUGCACUGUCAUAAACAAAUAAUGCCUGUACCAUAACCGACACAGGUGGGUAGGUAGAGUAUACUAAGGGGCGCGAGAUAACUCUCUCUAAGGAACUCGGCAAAAUGACUCCGUAACUCCGGGAGAAGGAGUGCCUUAAGAAAUUAAGGUUGCAAUAACAAGAUCCAAGCAACUGUUUAUCAAAAACACAGGUCUCCGCUAAGUCGUAAGACGAUGUAUGGGGGCUGACGCCUGCCCAGUGCCAGAAGGUUAAAGAAGUCGGUUAGCAUUAGCGAAGCUGGUAACUGAAGCCCUGGUGAACGGCGGCCGUAACUAUAAGGUCCUAAGGUAGCGAAAUUCCUUGUCGGGUAAGUUCCGACCCGCACGAAAGGCGUAAUGAUUUGGAUUCUGUCUCGGAGAGGGACUCGGUGAAAUAGACUUGUCUGUGAAGAUGCGGACUACCUGCACCAGGACAGAAAGACCCUAUGAAGCUUUACUGUAACUUGAAAUUGAAAUUGGACUUUACUUGCGCAGUAUAGGUGGGAGGCGUGGAGAAUAUUCUUGCGGGAAUAUUGGAGCCAUCAGUGAGAUACCACUCUUGUAAUGUUAGAUUUCUAACUUUGUAUCAUUAUCUGGUCAAAGAACAGUUUCAGGCGGGCAGUUUGACUGGGGCGGUCGCCUCCUAAACGGUAACGGAGGCGCACAAAGGUUUCCUCUGAACGGGUAGAAAUCGUAUCUAGAGUGUAAAGGCAUAAGGAAGCUUGACUGUGAGACCUACAAGUCGAGCAGGGACGAAAGUCGGUCUUAGUGAUCUGACGGUGCUGAGUGGAAAGGCCGUCACUCAACGGAUAAAAGUUACUCUAAGGAUAACAGGCUGAUCUCCCCCAAGAGUUCACAUCGACGGGGAGGUUUGGCACCUCGAUGUCGGCUCAUCGCAUCCUGGGGCGGUAGUACGUCCCAAGGGUUGGGCUGUUCGCCCAUGAAAGCGGUACGCGAGCUGGGUUCAGAACGUCGUGAGACAGUUCGGUCCAUAUCCGGUGUAGGCGUUAGAAUAUUGAGAGGAGCCUUCUUUAGUACGAGAGGACCGAGAAGGACAUACCUCUGGUGUACCAGUUAUCGUGCCAACGGUAAACGCUGGGUAGCCAUGUAUGGAGAGGAUAACCGCUGAAAGCAUCUAAGUGGGAAGCCCACCUCAAGAUAAG
This 1236-nucleotide ribosomal RNA is filed under the name metagenome. Its description in RNAcentral is "bacterial LSU rRNA". It matches the Rfam family "Bacterial large subunit ribosomal RNA", at positions 1564 to 2808 of the family's 2925-position model. The record is from RNAcentral.